Molecule: transfer RNA, 78 nt
Filed under: Lachnospiraceae bacterium XBD2001
Lineage: Bacteria; Bacillati; Bacillota; Clostridia; Lachnospirales; Lachnospiraceae
Description: tRNA_Met_CAT
Rfam family: tRNA
About the family: Transfer RNA (tRNA) molecules are approximately 80 nucleotides in length. Their secondary structure includes four short double-helical elements and three loops (D, anti-codon, and T loops).
Source: RNAcentral
UGUGGGUGAGUGAAACGGAUUUAUCCCACGAGCCUCAUAAGCUUGAAAUAGUGGGUUCGACUCCCAUAUCCGCAACUA